RNAcentral lists this ribosomal RNA (196 nucleotides) under Alphaproteobacteria bacterium. RNAcentral's name for it is "partial 16S ribosomal RNA". It matches the Rfam family "Bacterial small subunit ribosomal RNA", at positions 1 to 206 of the family's 1533-position model. Lineage: Bacteria; Pseudomonadati; Pseudomonadota; Alphaproteobacteria. The record is from RNAcentral.
UCAAUGAAGAGUUUGAUCCUGGCUCAGAACGAACGCUGGUGGCGUGUCUUAUACAUGCAAGUCGAGCGAGGCAGCAAUGCCGAGCGGCGAACGGGUGAGUAACGCGUAAGCAAUCUGCCCCCUGCUCGGGAAUAGCCGUGCCAACACGCGGAUAAUACCGGAUAUCGUGGGGUCCUGCAUAGGACCUUGACAAAAG